This 800-nucleotide ribosomal RNA is filed under the name Oculimacula yallundae. Its description in RNAcentral is "partial large subunit ribosomal RNA". It matches the Rfam family "Eukaryotic large subunit ribosomal RNA", at positions 87 to 904 of the family's 3401-position model. Lineage: Eukaryota; Fungi; Ascomycota; Leotiomycetes; Helotiales; Ploettnerulaceae. The record is from RNAcentral.
CGGCGAGUGAAGCGGUAACAGCUCAAAUUUGAAAGCUAGCUCUUUUAGGGUUCGCAUUGUAAUUUGUAGAAGAUGCUUCGGGUGUGGCCCCGGUCUAAGUUCCUUGGAACAGGACGUCAUAGAGGGUGAGAAUCCCGUAUGUGACUGGGUGCUUUCGCUCAUGUGAAGCUCUUUCGACGAGUCGAGUUGUUUGGGAAUGCAGCUCAAAAUGGGUGGUAAAUUUCAUCUAAAGCUAAAUAUUGGCCAGAGACCGAUAGCGCACAAGUAGAGUGAUCGAAAGAUGAAAAGCACUUUGGAAAGAGAGUUAAACAGUACGUGAAAUUGUUGAAAGGGAAGCGCUUGCAACCAGACUUGCGCGCUGAUGAUCAUCCGGGCUUCUGUCCGGUGCACUCGUCUGCGCUCAGGCCAGCAUCGGUUUCGGUGGUGGGAUAAAGGCCUUGGGAAUGUAGCUCCUCUCGGGGAGUGUUAUAGCCCUCGGUGCAAUGCCGCCUAUCGGGACCGAGGACCGCGCUUCGGCUAGGAUGCUGGCGUAAUGGUUGUAAGCGACCCGUCUUGAAACACGGACCAAGGAGUCUAACAUCUAUGCGAGUGUUUGGGUGUCAAACCCAUACGCGUAAUGAAAGUGAACGGAGGUGAGAACCCUUAAGGGUGCAUCAUCGACCGGUCCUGAUGUCUUCGGAUGGAUCUGAGUAAGAGCAUAGCUGUUGGGACCCGAAAGAUGGUGAACUAUGCGUGAAUAGGGUGAAGCCAGAGGAAACUCUGGUGGAGGCUCGCAGCGGUUCUGACGUGCAAAUCGAUCG